GGGUUUCUUCAACGCUACUCUCUCUGAAACCCUCCAAUUCCUUCACAGGAUACUUAUAUAUAUCCCUACUUCUGCGUGCCGCUCUCGACAAGAAGAAGAAAGCAACAGUCUUUCACUACCAGAAAACACCUCGUUUCUUAUUUGUCCUUCUCUGAUCGCAAAUGGACUUUCACAGCCUUGCAAGGAAAGAGCUCCAAGCUCUCUGCAAGAAGAAUAAGAUCCCAGCUAACAUGACCAAUGUCGCCAUGGCCGAUGCUCUCAAAGCUCUUGAGAAGGUGGAAGGACUUGAUGAACUCAACAAUGAACCCAGAUCCAAUCCUCAGGAAUCCCCGGAGAGAACUACUAAUGCGGAGCCUCGAACUGCAUGCAGAACCUCUACUAGGAGAAAGCCUAUUAAUGUUGAGCCUGAAAGUUCACAACCCGUGACUCGUACUCGCCGCGCAACAAGAAGAACAGUUGCUGAAGAGGCUGAACAAGAAAACAAAAAUGUGAAUCUACUGGAGACUCCUGCAAUGCUCACCACCCGCAGAAGGGCACCAGCUGCUUCAGCACCCCGGAAAAUGGAUGCCCAAUUGAUGGAACUCGGGGAGGAUGAGAAACUAGUAGGUCAAGAGAAGAGUGAUGUGCCAGAGACUCCAGCAAUGCGAACUUCCCAGAGGAAGGCUCCAGCAGUUUCAACAAGGAGGAAAACUGAGGCUCGGAAGGAUGAAAAAUCAGUUCAGAGAGUAUACGGUACGAGGAAAUCAGUGAGGUUGUUGGAGAAAAGCAUGGCUGAUUUGAGCUUGAAGGAGAAAUGGAGAGUUGAAGCUGUGAAGAUUGAGGGAUUGUGUGAGAAAACUGAGGAAGUUGAACAGAAGAAUGAUAUGCCUGGAGGUGAUUCCCAAUUUCUUUCAUGCCAAAACAUAGAUGUGUCACUCGAGAAUGAAAAUGAAAUGCUGCAUGGAGUUCAAGAGGACAACAACAGUAAUGACCAGGAAGGGGAUGGUUCUGAAGUUCUUUCAUUGGGAAACUUGGAGCAUUCUCUAGGGAACGAAAGUGAAAUGAAGCAUGAAUUUCAAGAGGACAACAAGACUAAUGACCAUGAAAUAGAUAACUCAGUAGUUUCUUUUCAAAAAUUGGAUCAGCCUCUAGAGAAUGGAAGUGAAAUGAAGAAUGAACCCAAUGAGCACAACAAUAAUGCUGACCAUGAAGUGUAUUCAGAGGUUCUUUGCCAGAACAUAGAUCAGUUGCACAAGAGUGAAAGUGAAACAAAACUUAAACAUCAAGAGGAUAAAAGGGGAAAUGAUCAUGAAGUGGUUGAUUGCAAUGCGGAAAUAGAAAUAGGUUCUGAGUCUUGCACUAAUUUGGAUAACGAUUCAGGACUAGGGGAAGAUGAUGAAGACAAUUGUGAGAGUUCAGAUGAAUCAUUUUUUCAGCAAGUGGAAACCUCAGAGGUAGAUAUGAAUUGUGAAUCCAUGGAUGAGAAAGGUAUGUUAUUUUUUUUUCUUGCCUUGUAGACCUUUAAUCUAAGAUUUUCUUCUUUGUUUUAUUUACAAGUCAUUUAAUGUACUUUGUUCAGGAUCACAUGUUGUGAUAACUGAAAACUCUGAGACUUUGAAUGCUGCUUUGAAGCCAGAAAUUGAAGAACUGAAUGGCAAUCAAGAUUCUAUGAUUGUUGAAGUGUCUGAUGAUAGUUCUGCUUUUGUCAUGGAAACAAUUGUUAAUGUUCCAGAUGAAGUUUCAGUUGAGGUCAUGGAUUCAUUGAUCCCUGAGGUAUCUGAAGCUGAGGGCAAAAGCUCUGAAAUCAAUUUGAUGGAGGAUGAGCAGCAUGGCAGUGAUGAUCCGCAUUCAGAUCCUGCUACUGAGAAAGAUUCUGAUGGUAAUGCCAUUGAGGAAUUGCCUGAUGUAUCUGAAGCUGAGGGCAAAAGCUCUGAAAUCAAUUUGAUGGAGGAUGAGCAGCAUGGCAGUGAUGAUCCGCAUUCAGAUCCUGCUACUGAGAAAGAUUCUGAUGGUAAUGCCAUUGAGGAAUUGCCUGAUGGCAGUAGAUCAGAUGAAGUUCAAGAAAAUGACAAUGCAGCAAAAAUCCAAGAGAAGGCUCCAUUUCUUCCUCAAGUUGAGU
RNAcentral lists this unclassified non-coding RNA (2098 nucleotides) under Hevea brasiliensis (rubber tree). The record is from RNAcentral. Lineage: Eukaryota; Viridiplantae; Streptophyta; Magnoliopsida; Malpighiales; Euphorbiaceae.